AGAAAUUGUCAGCUUUUAUUUUUUAUUUUUCAGCAUUUGAUAGUCAACAGGUCAUGCUGCUUACCGCUACGGCCCUGCUGCCAUCACAACCGUGCGUACCCCACGGUCCCGCAACGGGCGAUUGUAUCGGAGAAUUGCUGGAGAACGAGAGAAGAAAGAGGAAGGGGUCUCCAUGUCGAUUCAGUGAGCUUACGCACGUCGAACACUCAUCAACGAACGGCGCCGCGACGUUAUAUCCAAAAAUGGCGUUUCUCGCAUAGCGAUAACCCAUCGUAGUCGGCGUUCGUCAACGUCGUCACGAUCCGCUCGCUAGAACUCACCGACCGACCUGGUGGAACCGCAAGCCGUCAGUCCGAGGAAGAGCUAACGAACGCGAAAAUGCAAUCGACGGAACAACUACGACCGGAACAACUGGUGGGUCUGGUGGCCCGCUCGGCAGAAGGUACGGCCGCAAAAGGGAUGCCGAUCAAGGGCCACGAGGACCUCUGGGUGGAGAUCCAGGCCAACACCUUUCGGAACUGGGUGAAUGAGCAUCUAAAGCACGCCGGUGACGUGGGUGGUGGCCCCGUGCUGGACCUCGCCGAGGAUUUUCGAGACGGUACGCGUCUCUGCGCCCUGGUCGAGGUGCUCACGAAACGUCGUUUACCGCGAUGGAAUCCGCGACCGGCGAAUCAGCAUCAUCACCUGGAGAACGUGUCCACGGCGCUGCAAGCUAUCGAGGCCGAUGGCGUCAAGCUCGUCAAUAUAGGUAACGUAGACAUCGUGAACGGCAACCUGAAGCUGAUCCUGGGUCUCAUAUGGUCGCUCAUCGUGCGAUAUCAAAUCGGCAAGUCCAAGUUCCCGCCGAGGAAACUCAUGCUCGCAUGGCUCAAGGCUGCUUUACCGGAAUGUAGAGUCAACAAUUUCACGACCGACUGGAACUCGGGCGUGUAUCUGAGCGCACUUUUGGAUUACUCUAAGCCCGGUCUGUUCCCUCAUUGGCGACAACUCGAUCCGAAUGAUAGUGUUUACAACUGUCGCAAGGCCAUGGAGAUAUCGAAACGGGAGUUCGACAUUCCCAUGGUGCUAGAACCAGAGUAUCUGGCAUCGCCGUACUUGGACGAGCUCUCGGGGAUGACCUACUUGUCGUACUUUAUGAAGGAAGGCUCGCCGGGCUUCCACGCAACGCUACGAUGGGUCAAUUCGCAAUUAUCACAUACCUCGAUACGGAACUUUACGACGGACUGGAACGACGGUAGAGCUCUCUGCGGAAUCAUCAGAAAUCUGGGUGGACCGGCGCCACCCUACGAGAAACUCGACACCGAUCCAUCUGCCUGGGAACAUAAUUUGCAGAUGGGUAUCGACGGCGGUAAAAAACUCGGCGUGGAACCGAUCUUAAAGGCAAAAGAUAUGGCGGACCAGAACGUGGAACAUUUAGGCGUGAUGGCGUAUGCGGCGUACUUUCAAUGGGUGAAGCCUCGCCCUCAAGCGAGUCAACAGAUUGCUGUGCACAUCGAUAGUACAUCCGCCCGAGUGCAACAGCCGGCACACUUCAAAUUAGAAAUGCUCACCAAAGAUGUAAAUGCGAGGGAAGUGCGCAGUGAAAUCAUUAGUCCCAACGGACGCGUGGAAUGCAGACUUACGUGGAACGGAGCUCACGGCAAAGGCACCUUCGUACCUACGGAAGUUGGCAUGCAUAAGCUAAUGGUAUACAACGAUGGCGAACUGGUGAACGGAUGUCCCUAUUAUUUCAGAGUUUUACCACCUCUAACGAAAAUCAAAUCUCCGGGUAUGGAUCCUUGCGCCAUAGGAUCUAUCGUCGAAGUUCUAGUCAAUAGUUAUGGAACUAGUCAUGAUGGUAUUGAUGUGACCGCAUGGUCUCCGACCGGCAGAUCUUUGCCGUGUCCCGUCAAGGAAAAGGACGGAGUUCAUACAGCGACCUUUCAGCCCGAUGAAACGGGAGAAUGGAGCAUUGCAAUAACGCAUAAAGGAAAUCACAUACAAGGCGGUCCCUUCACUUGCUUCGUGUUUGAUCCUAAUGGAAUUAAGCUCUUAGAUACCGAUGGUGCCAUGCCCGGACAACCAUUCUCCUUCAUCGUCGAUGCGCGAGGAACCGGCGGCCUCGGUGAUGUAAUCAUCGAUAUUGUCCACGAUAAGCAGUCGGUAUCUUAUAGGAUAGAGGAUUUUGGACACAUGCAGUACCGGGUGUCCUUUGUCCCCGGCGAUGCUGGCAAGUACCGGGUGUACAUGUACUUUAACGGCUCAGAUGUGCGCGGUUCGCCGUUCUCUAUACGAGUAGGUACACAGAAGGGCUCGCGAAGGUCGAAGGACUCUACGUCCAGCCUAGAGCGAUCAAAAGUAUCCUCCCUGGAACGACGAAUGAACGGGCUAAAUAUUUCCGCAACGGAACGAACCAGUCCGACUCAGAAAUUAUAUACGUCCACUGUAUAUAAAUCCAUCAGUCCAACGCAACGUGGUUAUUCGCCAAUCCAUCAAGCCAGUCCGACUUACAAGAUGUCGAGCAAUUAUAUCACCGAGAAUUCUACCACCUCGACUUACCACAACACCAGCUCUCUAAAUCACAGUCCUGUACAAAGGAGUGUGCACAGUCCGUCAGUGCUGAAGGAGACGAAAGAUAUUUAUAGCAACAGCACGUAUAACCAUAGAUCACCGAAUCUGCAGAGUCCUACUUUCAUCAAAGAGUCUAAGGAUAUUUAUUCGUCUAGUACACUGAAUAGAUCACGAUCACCAGAUGCAAGUCCAAUCGGGCAUGUUAUCAAAGAGUCGAAAGAUAUUUACAGUUCGGGAUCCCUGAAGAGAUCGCACUCGCCACCGCGCUCGAGUCCGUAUCACAGCGUCACGAGUCCCGUUCAAAGUCCUAUAAACCGCAGUUUCAGUCCAAGGAUCAGUGACAAGGAUGCAUCGUUCAAUAAGCGUGAAUCCACAGAUAAUGGCGUCGUGGAUACCAGCAGCAAUGUACGGGUAUCUUCAAUGGUAGGUAGCACUUCCAGACGCGAUUCCUGGGACGCGAUUGCUAAGACGAAAUCGCUACUAUCAUACGGCAGUUUGGAAUCCCUGGCGAAUCUGACCAACAAUUCGCCGACCGCGGAAAAUCGGGAUAACAGCCCGAACAACAAUUUUCUGAACAACAAUUACAAGAACGCGCAAAGUUACACCACAAAGAAUGUAUCAUCGCACUCCGCAAUGACUAGUUAUUCGUCCGUGCAGAAAUCUUCAAGUCCCGAUUAUGGCGCUGGACAAAAAUACGAUGCUAAUCAGACAGCCACUCGUCAUCACGGCAUCCUGAAGAACAAGAACAACAACUACUAUGGCAAGAGCGUGGAUGUGACGGAUGGUACCGCGACGCACGAUAGAUACUUGAAUAACGGCGGUUCCGUUUACGUAUCCGCAUCACCUGGCAAAACGAUGAGUUCGAUCAUCGCCACCGGAAGCGCGCUGGAAACGCUGCCAGUACAUCGGCCGACCACUUUCAGCGUCAACUCCGAUGUGGAUCCUAAUAAGGUGUCCGUCACCGUUACCGGUCCCACCGGCAAGACCGUACUGGUACAGAGAUCAAAAUUGCGUGGCUUGAUAUACACUAUCACCGCCGAGGAGGUCGGUGAACAUACCAUCCAAGUCUUGGUAAACGGCCAGCACAUCAAUGGCUCGCCCUUCAGAUCGCAAGCGUAUAACGCUCGAGCUAUACAAGUUGGAAACAUCCCGAAUGGAGUGGUGAACCAACCGGUAGAAUUUGAAAUUGACGGAUCGAGAGCCGGCUCGGGAAACUUGGAGAUCCUCGUGAACGGAGGACACGUUACGAGUUUCGUGAGAGCGCUAGGUAGUCAGCGUUUCCUGGCAUCGUUUGUGCCACAUGAAGCGGUUACGCAUUUGGUCGAGAUGACGUUCAACGGGGAAGUCAUCCCUGGAUCACCUUGGCGAGUUGGCAUCAUGCCUGCACCGAAGAUGUCAGUGAUCGGUGAUUCAAUCAGGCUGGUUCCUGCUGGUAGUCCCGCUAUCUUUGAGCUGUCCGCGUUAGGCUUCAGCAGCAGCGAGAUUGACGUCAAGAUCAUAACACCCUCGAAGAGACACAUUUCCGCGAGAAUUGACGAGGAGCCAGGACGCUCCGGCGAAUUUCGCGUCGAGUUUACGCCAACUGAAGUAGGCAGCCACCUCGUGGAAGUGAGCAUCGCGGGACAGAAGCUACCGGCAGGACCGCUCGUCGCCAAGGUGUACAAUAGUAGUCUGAUCCAAGUUACUGACGUACCUAGCGCUGUAGUUGGCCAUGCCUGUCAAUUCAGAGUGGAUGCCAGCGCUGCAGGAGAAGGCCAACUAGAAAUCUCCAUAAACGAAGGAGAAGUGCCCAAUCAUGUUCAAGUAGUGGGUGGUGGUCGUUGUCUCGUAUCUUUUACUCCUGAAAUUGCUAAGCCUCAUUAUAUCGAUAUAAAGUUUAACGGAGAAGCAGUACGUGGAUGUCCCUUCAUCUGCAACGUAUCUGACACAAGCAGAGUCACACUGAGUAUGAAUCAUUUAGAACUAAUUCCAGUCAAUCAUCCUGCUAGUUUCCACAUGGGAGUCGAUGGAAGUGGCAGUGCAGAAUUAGCGGUUUCCGUAAGGGGACCAAAUAGCGAAUUGCCAGUUAAAGUUACUGGUGACAUAAGUAAUGGUUUCACCGCUGAAUUUAUACCAAGAGACGUGGGUGUACAUUCAAUUAGCGUAGAAUACAACGGUUAUCCCGUUAAUGGCACGCCGUUUUUGGCCAAAGCGUUCAACGCGGAUAAUGUGCUAAUUGGACCUGUAGCUAGAGGCAGCGUUGGCCAACCAACCCACUUUACUGUCGAUGCGAGUCAAGCUGGUGAAGGAAAUCUGGAGAUUACAAUAUCAGCUCGUGGUCAAAAUAUACCAACGCAAGUAACGCCACAAGGAAAUGCGCGGUUCUCCGUUAGUUUUGUACCAUUUGAGGCGUCCGAACAUAUUAUCAAUAUAGCAUUCAAUAAGAAAACUGUGCCUGGUUGCCCUAUAAUAAUGCGUGUGGGUGGCGACAGCCACGUAACCGUAAGUGGGCAGGCACUGAGCAGCGCUGGAUUGGGACGGCAAAGCUAUCUAACUGUCAGUAAUGUUGCCGGUAGCUUGGAAGACUUAGAAGUUAAUGUUGAAGGUCGGCCAACUUUCAGACUACGACAUUACUAGACUUCUCAAAAACUAAUCUCGCUCUUAUCUUAAUUUAUGGAUAUAUAAUGUGAAACACACACACACAUGGUGGGCCCAAUGGACAGGCCGUACCUGCUCAGGUCACCGACAACAAAGACACGACAUGCAGCGUGGCGUUUACACCGAGAGUCGUUGGCGAGCACCGAAUAUCGGUGAAUUACCGGAAUAUCCCGGUGGCCGGCAGUCCGUUCAGCUGUAAGGUGUACGAUGUUGCUGCGAUAAAGGUGAAAGACGCU
RNAcentral lists this unclassified non-coding RNA (5423 nucleotides) under Camponotus floridanus (Florida carpenter ant). Its description in RNAcentral is "filamin-A, transcript variant X2". The record is from RNAcentral. Lineage: Eukaryota; Metazoa; Arthropoda; Insecta; Hymenoptera; Formicidae.